AGGAGUCUUUCCACCGCUUCAGAACAUGCCUGGUGACCUCAUUUAUGUGAACACUUUAGCCAGAACAAAACUCAGCAAGCCACUGAUGAAUCCAGUGAAAAGGAGAGACCUACUGAGCCUUUGGGAAUGUAUGAUGCCUUGGAUUGGUCCAGGGUUCUGAAGCCUAAGUCACUCAUUGUACGCAGGAAGCCGAAUCUGCUGUGUGGAUGAGGUCUCCUGCUGCUCUGGGACCGUGCUUCACUCCAAGCCUCAGAGGUGGACACCUUUGAUACCAGGGUGACCAAUCCCUGGUCCUGGUCCUACCUACAUGAGAGUGAUAGAGCUCUGGGCUGGGGUACAAUUGAGUGACACACUCUUCCAAGUCCUCUUCCUCCACCACAGAGCACAAUUUCAUAAAGGUUUUGGCUUGCAUUAUAGAGCUGCUAACUGAGCCCUCAAUAUGCUGGAAUCUGCAAAGGAAACAUGGCCGAUUCUAGGCAGUGAACCAGCUCCCUCUUUCCUUACCUGGCAUUCGCAUCACCACACUUUCCAGUGUGCUUCCCUGUGAGCUUUUCACCAUCCCUGUCCCUCAACCAAAAUUCAUCUCAACCAAAAUUCAAACUGAGUCAUGCAAACAUGUAUUUUUCAUUUCUGUCCAAGCAACUAUUUAUAGUCUCAUUAACAAAUUUUAAGUAAUAUAAGUAAAUGUUACCCAGAUAAUCUUAAAGCCUUCAUCUCACUCAAUAAACAUCUAAUGAGAAAUGAAAACU
Molecule: long non-coding RNA, 749 nt
Filed under: Homo sapiens (human)
Lineage: Eukaryota; Metazoa; Chordata; Mammalia; Primates; Hominidae
Description: HSALNT0169622
Source: RNAcentral